AUUGAACGCUGGCGGCAUGCUUUACACAUGCAAGUCGAACGGCAGCGCGGGCUUCGGCCUGGCGGCGAGUGGCGAACGGGUGAGUAAUGCAUCGGAACGUGCCCAGUAGUGGGGGAUAGCCCGGCGAAAGCCGGAUUAAUACCGCAUACGACCUGAGGGUGAAAGCGGGGGACCGAAAGGCCUCGCGCUAUUGGAGCGGCCGAUGUCGGAUUAGCUAGUUGGUGGGGUAAAGGCUUACCAAGGCGACGAUCCGUAGCUGGUCUGAGAGGACGACCAGCCACACUGGGACUGAGACACGGCCCAGACUCCUGCGGGAGGCAGCAGUGGGGAAUUGUGGACAAUGGGGGCAACCCUGAUCCAGCCAUGCCGCGUGCGGGAAGAAGGCCUUCGGGUUGUAAACCGCUUUUGUUCGGGAAGAAAUCCUCUGGGCUAAUACCCCGGGGGGAUGACGGUACCGGAAGAAUAAGCACCGGCUAACUACGUG
RNAcentral lists this ribosomal RNA (484 nucleotides) under uncultured bacterium. RNAcentral's name for it is "partial 16S ribosomal RNA". It matches the Rfam family "Bacterial small subunit ribosomal RNA", at positions 28 to 507 of the family's 1533-position model. The record is from RNAcentral.